Papaver somniferum (opium poppy) is the source of this 490-nucleotide long non-coding RNA. RefSeq lists it as uncharacterized. The transcript is spliced from 4 exons. The record is from RefSeq and is a predicted model, not a curated record. Lineage: Eukaryota; Viridiplantae; Streptophyta; Magnoliopsida; Ranunculales; Papaveraceae.
AUGUUACUGUGAGUUAUAAAUGGAGAUGUGGUUGUGCUAUUUGUGGCUUGGAUGUAAUGUUGCAGGUGAGGAGGAGAAAGCUGCAGCUGAGAUACAUCAUAUGUUGUGCAUGCUUUGGAGCCGGUGGUGGUGUUGGAGUUGGAGCUAAGGUGUGAAUGUUGGAGGUAUAGGUAUAAGUGGAAGAUUAGGUGGUCGGCGGAAUUGCUGAGUGUCAAAUUUACUUUGUUGAGUCUGUAAUUCUGUAGCCACUCCUGAGGUAUUUCAAUUCGUUGCAGAGUGAGCGCUUUUCUGGUUGUUACUUCUCUGACAUGAACAUGGUCAUUUUGGCGCCAACUGGAAGCGGCAAAACAGUGUUAUUUGAGCUAUGUAUCUUAAAGCUCCUUUCCUGGUUCCUUUCUCAGGAUGGAAGGUUCCUUCAUAUGAAGGGUACACUGAAAACAGUCUCGACGUUUUUUGUGCGCACUGACAAGACACUAGCCUUUUUUUAGAU